Molecule: ribosomal RNA, 497 nt
Filed under: uncultured bacterium
Lineage: Bacteria
Description: partial 16S ribosomal RNA
Rfam family: Bacterial small subunit ribosomal RNA
Source: RNAcentral
GACGAACGCUGGCGGCGUGCCUAAUACAUGCAAGUAGAACGCUGAAGAGAGGAGCUUGCUCUUCUUGGAUGAGUUGCGCACGGGUGAGUAACGCGUAGGUAACCUGCCUUGUAGCGGGGGAUAACUAUUGGAAACGAUAGCUAAUACCGCAUAACAAUGGAUGACACAUGUCAUUUAUUUGAAAGGGGCAAUUGCUCCACUACAAGAUGGACCUGCGUUGUAUUAGCUAGUAGGUGAGGUAAUGGCUCACCUAGGCGACGAUACAUAGCCGACCUGAGAGGGUGAUCGGCCACACUGGGACGGAGACACGGCCCAGACUCCUACGGGAGGCAGCAGUAGGGAAUCUUCGGCAAGGGGGGCAACCCUGACCGAGCAACGCCGCGGGAGUGAAGAAGGUUGUCGGAUCGUAAAGCUCGGUUGUAAGUCAAGAACGGGUGUGAGAGUGGAAAGUUCACACUGUGACGGUAGCUUACCAGAAAGGGACGGCUAACUACGUG